RNAcentral lists this ribosomal RNA (454 nucleotides) under uncultured Acholeplasma sp. RNAcentral describes it as "bacterial SSU rRNA". It matches the Rfam family "Bacterial small subunit ribosomal RNA", at positions 923 to 1382 of the family's 1533-position model. Lineage: Bacteria; Bacillati; Mycoplasmatota; Mollicutes; Acholeplasmatales; Acholeplasmataceae. The record is from RNAcentral.
GCACAAGCGGUGGAUCAUGUUGUUUAAUUCGAUGAUACGCGAAGAACCUUACCAGGUCUUGACAUCCCCCGCGAUGCUUUAGAGAUAAAGCGGAGGUAUUCGGGGAGACAGGUGGUGCAUGGUUGUCGUCAGCUCGUGUCGUGAGAUGUUGGGUUAAGUCCCGCAACGAGCGCAACCCCUAUUGCUAGUUACCAUCAUUAAGUUGGGGACUCUAGCGAGACUGCCAGUGAUAAACUGGAGGAAGGUGGGGAUGACGUCAAAUCAUCAUGCCCCUUAUGACCUGGGCUACAAACGUGAUACAAUGGCUGGAACAAAGGGAUGCGAAGCAGUGAUGUGGAGCGAAACCCAUAAAACCGAUCGUAGUCCGGAUCGCAGUCUGCAACUCGACUGCGUGAAGUCGGAAUCGCUAGUAAUCGUGAAUCAGAAUGUCACGGUGAAUACGUUCCCGGGCCUU